CGUGGAGACAGGUGGUGCAUGGCUGUCGUCAGCUCGUGUCGUGAGAUGUUGGGUUAAGUCCCGCAACGAGCGCAACCCUCACCUCUUGUUGCCAUCAGGUCAUGCUGGGCACUCUAGAGGAACUGCCCCGGUCAACGGGGAGGAAGGCGGGGAUGACGUCAAGUCAUCAUGCCCCUUACGUCCUGGGCUACACACGUGCUACAAUGGCCGGUACAAAGGGAUGCCACAUCACGAGGUGGAGCUAAUCCCAAAAAGCCGGUCUAAGUUCAGAUUGGAGUCUGCAACUCGACUCCAUGAAGGAGGAAUCGCUAGUAAUCGCGUAUCAGCACGACGCGGUGAAUACGUUCCCGGGCCUUGUACACACCGCCCGUCACACCACGAAAGCCUGCUGUACUCGAAGUCGCUGAG
RNAcentral lists this ribosomal RNA (408 nucleotides) under uncultured Methylomirabilota bacterium. RNAcentral's name for it is "bacterial SSU rRNA". It matches the Rfam family "Bacterial small subunit ribosomal RNA", at positions 1027 to 1434 of the family's 1533-position model. Lineage: Bacteria; Methylomirabilota (SeqCode). The record is from RNAcentral.